This 460-nucleotide ribosomal RNA is filed under the name uncultured bacterium. Its description in RNAcentral is "partial 16S ribosomal RNA". It matches the Rfam family "Bacterial small subunit ribosomal RNA", at positions 338 to 795 of the family's 1533-position model. The record is from RNAcentral.
CCUACGGGAGGCUGCAGUGAGGAAUAUUGGUCAAUGGACGAGAGUCUGAACCAGCCAAGUAGCGUGAAGGAUGACUGCCCUAUGGGUUGUAAACUUCUUUUAUAUGGGAAUAAAAUGUUCCACGUGUGGGAGUUUGUAUGUACCAUAUGAAUAAGGAUCGGCUAACUCCGUGCCAGCAGCCGCGGUAAUACGGAGGAUCCGAGCGUUAUCCGGAUUAAUUGGGUUUAAAGGGCGCGUAGGUGGAUUGUUAAGUCAGUUGUGAAAGUUUGCGGCUCAACCGUAAAAUUGCAGUUGAAACUGGCAGUCUUGAGUACAGUAGAGGUGGGCGGAAUUCGUGGUGUAGCGGUGAAAUGCUUAGAUAUCACGAAGAACUCCGAUUGCGAAGGCAGCUCACUGGACUGCAACUGACACUGAGGCUCGAAAGUGUGGGUAUCAAACAGGAUUAGAUACCCUAGUAGUC